This is a non-coding RNA of Hordeum vulgare subsp. vulgare (domesticated barley), 107 nucleotides long. The record is from Rfam. NCBI's taxonomy places the organism in Eukaryota, Viridiplantae, Streptophyta, Magnoliopsida, Poales, Poaceae.
UGCUUGCUGUGAUGAACCACAAGGACGGUAUCUGAGUAAGGUUGCUCUUGAAAAGGCCCUCCUUCCUUGAUUAACAUCCUAAACUGAUCAUAAAUUCUUUGCAAGCA